GUGUACUUUGCCAUGUCAAACUUGAAUGAAAAAUGGAAGAAUAGAAAGUCUACUACUAAACUGUAAGCUAAACGAGAAGAGGUGUAUGCAACAUGCCAACGAACUAACAAACUAACUAAACGUCCACGCAGUCAACUUUAGUCGUCCGCCGAAAAAACUUUCAUAAAAGAAACCGCAACUGUAGCAAGCGCGUGGACAUAUUUGCUAAUGAUUCCUGGCACUAAAUGUACACCUCAUGUUCAUGACUACAGGUCUUUCUCAGCGUUCUCUCCCAAUCGUCCUGGAUUUAUCUGUAUACUGUAAAGCACCUCACCGCGAUUGCCGUUAUUCAAUCGUGAUGCCUGCCUUUGGAACAACCUAUCAGCAGUGCUUUUUCCAGUCGUACUUGAUGUCUCCAUUUUCAAGACGAGCAUUCACAAGCAUUACUCCGUUCCUUCAUCCUAC
Long non-coding RNA from Glossina fuscipes, 444 nucleotides. RefSeq lists it as uncharacterized. The transcript is spliced from 3 exons. Lineage: Eukaryota; Metazoa; Arthropoda; Insecta; Diptera; Glossinidae. The record is from RefSeq and is a predicted model, not a curated record.